CACCAGCUCUGGAGCUGGCGGCGAUGCGGACCGAGUGAGCGGCGGUAGGGCCAGGUCGGGCGCCGGGCGGGAGCCGAGGCCGCGGCGGACUCCGCAAUCCCGCAGCCGGCGACUGGAGCCCACCUCUGCAGAGACAAAGGAACUGCUCUGGUGAACUCCCCCUGAAAGUAAAUGUCCUUGGCUGGCCUCCAGCAUUCCCCUCACAGGCAUGGCCAUGCAGCCUUCAGAACCUUCCUGAAAGAGAUGCCCAAGGAUUCAGCAAACACGGGGGAAGCAGAGGACACAACAAGCUUGGAUGUGAAAUAGCACUUCCUUCUGUAUUACAGAAUAAAACAAUAUUUUAAAUUACACAAGCAGAUGGGGCAAGUUUUUGGGCCCUCACAAGCCCAGAAGACUUCACACUGGUAUACUGGUGUAUACAUGUGGAAUUGAGCAAAGAACUUGUUUAAUUCCAAAAUUUUCUGAGAAAUAAUCUCAAUAGUCAAUUUGCCUCAUUAUCUUCUCCCCAUCUUACCCAAAUAAAAGCAGAGCUUUAUGACCCUCCCUUUCAACUUGGGGAAUGAGGGCCGCAGAGACUUUGCACUGAAAAGCAGCCAUAUUUGCAUUUUUCUCCCCUUGUACGGAGGUAAGCGAUAUACUGGGUUUUGUGGAACCUCACAAAAUGGCAUCCUUGAACUGACUUCUCUGAAAACCACUGAGACCCACAUUCUCUUUUGUAUGUUUCUGGUCAUUGCAAAUGGAGAGCCUAAAUCACUCAGAAGGCUUGGUUCUUUCAUUCAGUGUUAACACUGGAGAGUACUAUUUUUCUCUAAACGGUUUACAGACCUCACUAGGCAGACUGCUGCAGUCCAGGGCUGAAAAGUGCUGCCUGGGAUGGCAAAGCAUUCUCUGAAGGUUUAUGCAAAUUUCUGCAGCAAAAAAAUGUUCGCUUGUUGCCUCAAUGCUUGGAUGUUGACACAUUUGAGCCAAUUAGAAGGGCAUCUUGUGCGCAAGUCACUGCCAGUCUGUCUGCAUGAAACACCAUGAUGGGGGGUGGGGAUGUCUAGUCAGUUUAAGAAAGAAGGUGGCGAUUGUGUGUGAUGUGUAAUUCCCCCAGGUCUUUAUUGGAACACAAAUCUAUGCUCUUCCCAGCUACAAAAGGAAACAUUUACCAAAUCAACACUCUGGGCGUGUGUGUAAGCUAUGUAUACAUACAAAUUCAUAAUCUAAUAUAUACCAGCUAUUGCAACAGUCUUUGUCUGUACAUGAGGUAUGCAUUUACCAUGGUUUAGGCGGCCAGUGGGACCAGAAGUUACACUUUGAGACCAGCACAGAAUGCUGAAGAAAUGACAAUUUUAUCUCCUCUUCCUUCCUUGAUUUCCAUACCCACCCAUACACAGGGCUCCCACCUGACAAUCCUGCCAACAUUAUUUCAGGGUUCUAAAAGUAUCUGGUGAGCAUCCUUGAGCAGGAGACAGCCAGUUUUGCUAAUAUACAAAGGAGUCCUGAGUCCCUUAAAUCCAGGGCAGCUGGAUUUCAGCCAGCACUGGUCUUUGGAUGGUUUACACUGGAGGCUGUUCCCCAGCCUCUUGGCCCUUGGCAUCCUUACUCUGUACCAGCCGACAGCAGAGUCUUAAGCAGUGCACAGAGCAAAACAUUCUCAAAUCCAGCAUAGGCAUUUGCAGCUGUCUCUUGGAGUGCAAAUGUUUAAGUCCUGGGCCACCUGUGAUUUAAAAUUAUCUUUCCUGGCUCCGGUCAGAGAAUGUCACAGCCAUCACUUCUUCUCAGCAUGGAAAGCCAGGUGGUGCUUUCCUUCUGACCUGGCCAGUGGCAACAUUUCUGUGGUCCAUGAAGCCACAGGCAAACAGCCUGAUAAAACCCGAUGAGGUGACCCUGGCGCAAAACUAUAGGAUUCCAUUUUCUUAUCUAUGUAAUAAAAGCAACUGUGGAAAUAAAAACAUACCCCUUUGAAAAUAAACAUGGUUAGAGAAA
Long non-coding RNA from Pongo pygmaeus (Bornean orangutan), 1971 nucleotides. RefSeq lists it as uncharacterized. Lineage: Eukaryota; Metazoa; Chordata; Mammalia; Primates; Hominidae. The transcript has 3 exons. The record is from RefSeq and is a predicted model, not a curated record.